UAUUGUGUUGGCCAAGACGAUUGUUCAGGUUUUUCCAUAACAUCUUAUAGAAAAUCCCAAAUGAACUUUUUGGCCAACCCA
Molecule: microRNA precursor, 81 nt
Filed under: Ovis aries (sheep)
Lineage: Eukaryota; Metazoa; Chordata; Mammalia; Artiodactyla; Bovidae
Description: miRNA (ENSOARG00000024607.1)
Source: RNAcentral